UGCUCGUUACCAGGGCUUUUAGAAUACAGCUUCUCAUUCGCUGUGGACGUGACUACAAAAUGUUUUCCAACUAGGUUUUCUUUCUACUACAUUGGAAGCAUUCAGCUUAUUGGGAACAUUU
Molossus molossus (Pallas's mastiff bat) is the source of this 121-nucleotide small nucleolar RNA. RefSeq annotates it as small nucleolar RNA SNORA32. The transcript has a single exon. NCBI's taxonomy places the organism in Eukaryota, Metazoa, Chordata, Mammalia, Chiroptera, Molossidae. The record is from RefSeq and is a predicted model, not a curated record.